ACCGCUUGUCCAUCCGCUUCCACUCUGGGCUGCAGCGGCACUCGCGGCCCCGAGCCCCGCGUAGAGCGGGACCCGGGGUCCGCCUCUACCUCAGGUGGACAGUUCUGCAAGCCAGCUUUGACCAUAGAAACAAACAAGGGCAGCACCAAAGGCAAUCACAGAACAAGCAUAAAGAACCUGCACUGUGAACAACCUCAUGGUGUGGAGUCACUCAUCCACCCUGAACCACCCUCUGCACUAUUAUAGGAGAAUGAACUACUUUCUUCAUGGAAAUGUGCUUUGGUCUGCCAAAAGUUGAGCCUAUGUUCUAACUCAGUGGUUCCCAACAUUUUGUCUCCUAAAUAAAAACUUUAGAAAUCUGGA
Molecule: long non-coding RNA, 363 nt
Organism: Suricata suricatta (meerkat)
Lineage: Eukaryota; Metazoa; Chordata; Mammalia; Carnivora; Herpestidae
Exons: 2
Source: RefSeq, a predicted model, not a curated record